AGGUUGUUGGUUUCCUUAGUUGCUUUUGGAGCAGUAGGCUUUUCCUCUUAGAAUUUUGUCUACAAUUGUGAAUUGUUAAGUUUGUGGGGGUGGGUUAAAUUAAUAAGUUAUUGCCAUCUUCGGUGGAUUAGGUUGCACUAGUGAAAUAUGUUGACCAGUUUUAACUGCCAUUGACAAAUUUCGUUCAUCUAACCUCCAGAUUUUAUUGCUCUAGGCGGACUGGCAUGGUGUAAAGCAUUCAUUUCUAUUUUAUUUGAGAUUAGAUCAUAAUGGUGUUUGACAAAGCUGAUACUUAAAAGUGCUAACAAUUAGAGAUCUGAAUAAUUUAGUACUUAACUUCAGAGACAAUUUUCAACUGAAUUAUACAACAAACAAUAACAACUGCCUUAAUCCUAAACUAGUUAUGGUCGGCUAUAUGAAUCAUUUUUUGCCAUUCAG
RNAcentral lists this unclassified non-coding RNA (438 nucleotides) under Hevea brasiliensis (rubber tree). The record is from RNAcentral. Lineage: Eukaryota; Viridiplantae; Streptophyta; Magnoliopsida; Malpighiales; Euphorbiaceae.